This 488-nucleotide ribosomal RNA is filed under the name uncultured bacterium. Its description in RNAcentral is "partial 16S ribosomal RNA". It matches the Rfam family "Bacterial small subunit ribosomal RNA", at positions 28 to 507 of the family's 1533-position model. The record is from RNAcentral.
GACGAACGCUGGCGGCGUGCUUAACACAUGCAAGUCGAACGCGCCUGUCCUCUGGGUUUCUGGGGGGUGGGUGAGUGGCGAACGGGUGAGUAACACGUGAGUAACCUCCCCCCUUCUUCGGGAUAACGGUCUGAAAGGGCUGCUAAUACCGGGUAUUCACUGGUCUCCGCAUGGGGUCUGGUGGAAAGGUUUUUUUCUGGUGGGGGAUGGGCUCGCGGCCUAUCAGCUUGUUGGUGGGGUGAUGGCCCACCAAGGCUUUGACGGGUAGCCGGCCUGAGAGGGUGACCGGUCACAUUGGGACUGAGAUACGGCCCAGACUCCUACGGGAGGCAGCAGUGGGGAAUAUUGCACAAUGGGCGCAAGCCUGAUGCAGCGACGCCGCGUGAGGGAUGGAGGCCUUCGGGUUGUGAACCUCUUUCGCCCGUGGUCAAGCCGCGACGUGGGUCGUGGUGAGGGUAGUGGGUAAAGAAGCGCCGGCUAACUACGUG